AUCUAUGGCCAUGCUACCCUGAACAAGCCCGAUCCCAUCUGAUCUCAGAAGCUAAGCAGGGUCGGACCUGGUUAGUACUUGGAUGGGAGACCACCUAGGAAGACCAGAUGCUGUAGGCA
RNAcentral lists this ribosomal RNA (119 nucleotides) under Pteropus alecto (black flying fox). Lineage: Eukaryota; Metazoa; Chordata; Mammalia; Chiroptera; Pteropodidae. The record is from RNAcentral.